UACGUAGGUGUCAAGCGUUGUCCGGAUUUAUUGGGCGUAAAGCGCCCGCAGGCGGCUUGCCAAGUUCGAUGUGAAAUCUCCCGGCUCAACUGGGAGGGUGCAUCGAAAACUGGCAGGCUUGAGGCAGGGAGAGGGAUGUGGAAUUCCAGGUGUAGUGGUGAAAUGCGUAGAUAUCUGAAGGAACACCAGUGGCGAAGGCGGCAUCCUGGCCCUGUCCUGACGCUCAGGGGCGAAAGCGUGGGGAGCAAACCGG
This 253-nucleotide ribosomal RNA is filed under the name uncultured bacterium. RNAcentral describes it as "partial 16S ribosomal RNA". It matches the Rfam family "Bacterial small subunit ribosomal RNA", at positions 524 to 776 of the family's 1533-position model. The record is from RNAcentral.